This 48-nucleotide transfer RNA is filed under the name Synodontis centralis. Its description in RNAcentral is "partial transfer RNA Pro". Lineage: Eukaryota; Metazoa; Chordata; Actinopteri; Siluriformes; Mochokidae. The record is from RNAcentral.
CCAAAAAAGAGAGAUUCUAACUCCCACCCCUAACUCCCAAAGCCAGAA